Molecule: ribosomal RNA, 1239 nt
Filed under: Serratia marcescens
Lineage: Bacteria; Pseudomonadati; Pseudomonadota; Gammaproteobacteria; Enterobacterales; Yersiniaceae
Description: bacterial SSU rRNA
Rfam family: Bacterial small subunit ribosomal RNA
Source: RNAcentral
CGGGGGCGGCAGCUUACACAUGCAAGUCGAGCGGUAGCACAGGGGAGCUUGCUCCCUGGGUGACGAGCGGCGGACGGGUGAGUAAUGUCUGGGAAACUGCCUGAUGGAGGGGGAUAACUACUGGAAACGGUAGCUAAUACCGCAUAACGUCGCAAGACCAAAGAGGGGGACCUUCGGGCCUCUUGCCAUCAGAUGUGCCCAGAUGGGAUUAGCUAGUAGGUGGGGUAAUGGCUCACCUAGGCGACGAUCCCUAGCUGGUCUGAGAGGAUGACCAGCCACACUGGAACUGAGACACGGUCCAGACUCCUACGGGAGGCAGCAGUGGGGAAUAUUGCACAAUGGGCGCAAGCCUGAUGCAGCCAUGCCGCGUGUGUGAAGAAGGCCUUCGGGUUGUAAAGCACUUUCAGCGAGGAGGAAGGUGGUGAACUUAAUACGUUCAUCAAUUGACGUUACUCGCAGAAGAAGCACCGGCUAACUCCGUGCCAGCAGCCGCGGUAAUACGGAGGGUGCAAGCGUUAAUCGGAAUUACUGGGCGUAAAGCGCACGCAGGCGGUUUGUUAAGUCAGAUGUGAAAUCCCCGGGCUCAACCUGGGAACUGCAUUUGAAACUGGCAAGCUAGAGUCUCGUAGAGGGGGGUAGAAUUCCAGGUGUAGCGGUGAAAUGCGUAGAGAUCUGGAGGAAUACCGGUGGCGAAGGCGGCCCCCUGGACGAAGACUGACGCUCAGGUGCGAAAGCGUGGGGAGCAAACAGGAUUAGAUACCCUGGUAGUCCACGCUGUAAACGAUGUCGAUUUGGAGGUUGUGCCCUUGAGGCGUGGCUUCCGGAGCUAACGCGUUAAAUCGACCGCCUGGGGAGUACGGCCGCAAGGUUAAAACUCAAAUGAAUUGACGGGGGCCCGCACAAGCGGUGGAGCAUGUGGUUUAAUUCGAUGCAACGCGAAGAACCUUACCUACUCUUGACAUCCAGAGAACUUUCCAGAGAUGGAUUGGUGCCCUUCGGGAACUCUGAGACAGGUGCUGCAUGGCUGUCGUCAGCUCGUGUUGUGAAAUGUUGGGUUAAGUCCCGCACGAGCGCAACCCUUAUCCUUUGUUGCAGCGAUCGCCGGCACUCAAGAGACUGCAGUGAUAACUGAGGAAGGUGGGGAUGACGUCAGUCAUCAUGGUCUUACGAGUAGGCUACCACGUGCUACAAUUGCGUUAUCCAGAGAGCCGACCCUCGCGGAGAGAGACCAAAGCCGGG